UGGGGGAUCGUCUAACGGGUAAGACGGCUACCUGUCAAGUAGACAAUCCGGGUUCGAAUCUCGGUCCCCCAG
Molecule: transfer RNA, 72 nt
Filed under: Elusimicrobiota bacterium
Lineage: Bacteria; Pseudomonadati; Elusimicrobiota
Description: Elusimicrobia bacterium (groundwater metagenome) tRNA-Asp
Rfam family: tRNA
About the family: Transfer RNA (tRNA) molecules are approximately 80 nucleotides in length.
Source: RNAcentral